Orcinus orca (killer whale) is the source of this 4686-nucleotide long non-coding RNA. RefSeq lists it as uncharacterized. The record is from RefSeq and is a predicted model, not a curated record. Lineage: Eukaryota; Metazoa; Chordata; Mammalia; Artiodactyla; Delphinidae. The transcript has 2 exons.
UCCUCCGAGCCAAUGGGAGCCAAUAGGAAGCCAGGGUUGGUGGAGGGAGCCGGGCGCGGAGAUGCCAUUGGUCAGAGUUUUCCAAGAGCGAGGCCAAUUAGAGCAAGAACGGAGGAACUCUGCAGCCAAUGGACGGCGCCUCCGGGGGCGGGAGCAGAGAGACAAGGAAAUGCUGUCACCGCCGUUAACACGCACGUGGAGUUUGUUAAAGGUAUAGGAAAUGAAGCGGUCCUGGCCGGGGACGGGGAAUGAGCCGCUGGGGGCUUGAGGGGAGUAGUCAGUAUCAAGGGGCCGGCCCCUAGCAGGUGCCUGAAGGCCAGCUUAGUGCAGAAAGUACCCGUCGGAGGAGGCUGGUGCCAGGAAAGGACAAAUGGAAAACGGAAUUAGGGGCCAGACUCGGAGGCAAGGUGAUGUGGAGACACAGAAAGGGGCGAUCUGGUGGGAGGGAGAAAUUGGCGUUCAAGAGUGGGACAGGUUGCAAAUGACUUGUGGAUCUCACGGGAUAGGUACUGUAUAGUGUGUGAGUAUGGGGAGGUACUCUGGGGUCUGGGGAGGAGCAGUCUUACCAAGACUAUGGUAAGAAAGCAGAUGGCUGAAUGAGAAAGGGGAAGAGGGAAAUUUGGGAUCAAGCCAUCCCAGACCAGAACCAUCUUCCAACUCGGAAUCCUCUCUCUCCAGCCUCAUUGCUAUAACCUGGGUCAGAGCAUGCUGCUCCCUUUCCUCAUGGUUUCCCCUUUUGUGGUUGCAGCAGAGUUCACACUAGCCAGUGUUCUGGUAGAUGGAAAGAUUGCCCCACCUCUCCCGGGCCACCCCCAUCUUUGUCGUUUCCCCUUUUUCACAUUUUGCCCUUUCUAGGUAGCUGGAGUGUAGCUUCCAGGUCAGUGCCAGCCAUAAAGGAGGGCACAGGGGAGCAGGUGGCUAUGCAAAAGUCACUUGCAGGCUGUGGACUCAGGGCUGAGAAAUAGGACACCUGCCAGUGCCCAUUCCAGCUUUGACCUGGCUGGGGCAGCCUUGGGUUAAGGCCUCUGUGUAGUCCUGCUUUCCACCAACAUCAGGAAGGGGAGCUGCAGGAGCCAUCUAGGCAGGCACCCCAGGACUGUGCCAGUACAUGGGCCUCUCACUGCUGUGGCCUCUCCCGUUGCGGAGCACAGGCUCCGGACGCGCAGGCUCAGCGGCCAUGGCUCACAGGCCUAGCCGCUCCGCGGCAUGUGGGAUCUUCCCGGACCGGGGCACGAACCCGUGUCCCCUGCAUCGGCAGGCGGACUCUCAACCACUGCACCACCAGGGAAGCCCCUGGUGAUUGGAUUUUUGUUUUGGGAUGUGGCUCUGGUGACGGAGUGGGUGAUAGGCGAAGGAGGGCAAGACGCUGCUGUGUUCUCUCUAAGCCUCAGAGCCUGAUGCCUGAGUUUGGGGGGUGUGGGGUGGAGAGGAGGGAUUUGACUCAGCAGGAUGGCUUUAGGCGACAUGGGCGGUGCUGUUCAUUGAAGUAGGGGAAUGUUGGAGGAGAGGCUUAAGGGAGAGAUGAAGUCGCCAUCAGACCUGUUGAGUGGGAGGAUUUAUGGGACAGCCACAUUCGGUUGGGUUGGAAAAUCAAUUCUGGAGCUGGGGGAGAGGUCUGGGCUGACGGGAUGGUUUAGGUGUCAUGAAACUCCAAGGUGGCACUUGAAGCCAUGGGGGAGGAUGACAGUGUCUGGGAAGGGAAGGGGGCCUGGGAGAGUGGUAAAGAUGCUCCUGAAGUAUAGCACCCAGCUUUCCAGGGGACCAACAGCAGGCCAGAAGGGGUGUGCUGGGGGCCCAGAACUCAGGAAUUCUCCGGCCUAGCUUUGGGUGAACUCAGUGUGGAGCCUCAGGACAUACAGACAGGUGGGUACUUGGUGCUCUGCCAGCAGAUGCCUGAGCCCUGAGUAUGGUUAUCAGGUGACCCAGAGGGGGAUGCAAGGAGGCUGACCCUUUCCCGACUGUCCUGCUUGCAGUUAUGGAGUUAACCCCUCACACAAUCCUUUGCAUAUGCUCACCGAUUGCUCCCUGAAUCUGUCCCAUUGUUUUCAUAUGUGUUCCCCCUGAGAAGCUCCUUCGUGGGAGGGACUGCUUAAUUUCCCUGGCUCCUUCUCAGAAUCCCAGCCAGGAAAUGCUAAUCUGUAAUGUUUAUGCAUAAUCUGCUUUUCUUAAACUUCUCUGAACUUGGUGAGUGGGGCUUGGGGUUUUUUGGCACCUGGUAGGAGCAGGGCCACCAAGAGGGUCUUUGUUGGCUGGAGGGAUGUUAAGGUUUCCAGGGUGAGUUGGCUGGGUCAUCUCUCUUAGCCCGGGCACUGGCUAAUCAGAGAGUGGGCCACAGGCAGGGGGAGGAGGCCUGAUGAGUUCUCAGCAGGCCCAAAGGAUAUGACCUGGCGGUUCCUUAGUUUCAUUUAAGAAAUCCUGGUCAAUCCUCUUGGCCUGACCUGUGGUCAUUUCUAAUUUCCUCUUGGCCACGAUCCCGAUUAGCAGGUAUUUGACGCUCUCCUCCAAGCCCUGAUUCUCUGCCUCUCCCUCCAUGGUUUGCUUUCUUUUCACCCACACCCCUCUUCUUUAUUCCAUCCUCCCAGGCUCACUUCCUGCUCUUCUACUCCCCGAGGACCUCUUCACUAGGAAACCCAACUGCCACCUGUCCUGAGAUUAUUGCAGUUCCUUUAGUGGCUUCAUCCCAGCCCCAGAGACCUUGGUCAGGUGACAGGAGGUCUCUGUCCCAAGGCAGUGUCUGACCCCCAAGUUAGGUUCCCUGGAAUCCACCACCAUCUAGACCUCAGCCACGAGCCCCUGAUGGGUGCAGGGACCUGAGAUGCUGCAGGCAGCUCCCAUCAUUAAACUCAAGUGUGGGGCCUCAAAGGUGAUUGUCAAGAUGGACUGAGUAGUUUGAAGGAAGCCUGAGAUCUAUUUGCUGGUUUAGUUAGACAACAAAAAAGUACUUUGCCCGAUGUGCCUUCAGGAGGGGAGGGUCUUCCCCAGCCCCCUUUUAUUUCGGGCUCAUAAUCCUAGUAUCUGGAUGAGCCGCAGCACUGACCAUCACUGAGCAGACAGGAGGGGGUGGUGAGGGGUGGCCUUGGUGCACAGGACCCUGGGGAGGGAACUCGGGCUGUGUGACCCCCCACUCUCAAGCUGCUGGGAGUAGCCUGCCCCCAGAUUUUCAACCAGGGCCAAUCAGGUGUCCUGGGGAGGCCUCUGGCCUGGGGCGAGCUUGGGCCACAUCAGUGUCAACAGUCCCCACCCCCUGCAACUCCAGUAAAUAAGGGAUGGAUUAAAGCAGAUGAGGGCUAAUUUGCCACCAGGUCUCUCCGUUCUCUCCCCAGGCCAACAGCCGUGCUAGGCAGAAUACACUUUCCUGCUCCCUUUUUUUUUUUUUUAAUUAAUUAAUUUAUUUGUUUAUUUUGGCUGUGUUGGGUCUUCGUUGCUGUGCGCGGGCUUUCUCCAGUUGUGGUGAGCUGAGGGCUGCUCUUCAUUGCGGUGCCCAGACUUUUCACUGUCGUGGCUUCUCUUGUUGCAGAGCACGGGCUCUAGGCACGCAGGCCGCAGCAGUUGUGGCACAUGGGCUCAGCAGCUGUGGCUCGCGGGCUCUAGAGCGCAGGCUCAGUAGUUGUGGUGCACAGGCUCAGCUGCUCCACAGCAUGUGGGAUCUUCCCGGGCCAGGGCUCGAACCCGUCCCCUGCAUUGGCAGGCAGACUAUCAACCGCUGCGCCACCAGGGAAGCCCUCCUGCUCCCUUUCUAACUCAGGCAUCCCACGGGAGGCAGAGAUGGUCAGGCAUAACUUUUGAACCCGUGAGUCUCACUGGAGAAGGGAAAUCCCGAGUGCCAGCACACUGUUCUGCCCGCUGAGGGCUGACACCUCAUUUCCAAAGGAUGCCAAGGAGUCAGGUCAGUUUCCACACUUGAAGCAUAAAGCACAUGACUUGGAAUCAGUUCCCAGGAAAGGAUAGUUCUUUGUGCCUGAGAGCAAAGCCGGUGGGGAACAUGUGGCAGAAAGAGGUCAGUUGUUAACAUUCCCCUUCUCCCACCAAUCCCGAUCAAGAACACAGUAAGGCAGUUUUCUAGUCACACAAUCUGCACGUGAGAGUAGAUAAAUAUACCUCAUGCCUUCCUCCUCCCGCCAGUGCAGCAAUGAGAAGUGGGGCUGCUGGGCUGGUUAGGAGGCUUCCAUGUCAGGGUAGAGACAGUGGUUGGUCUGGUAUCACCCAAAGGGCUUAAGUAUGCUUGGGACGGGACUCCCUGCCUGUUAAUAAAGAAGUGAUGGGGGCAGAGGACCUGUGAUCUGAGAUCCAUCUCCUUUUUAUUUCUUCAGCUGAUGUGAGGGUGCACUGGCUCUAAGGACAAGCUGUUUGCUUGCAAAAAUGCAGGCGCUGGUGACAAAGGAAACACAGUUAAGGAGACUGAUAGCUCUAAACGAGCCUUGCCACUCUUGCACAGAACAGCCACCCUGGCUGUGUCCUUUCGAGGCUGAUUAAGAGGCAUUGUUGUUACAAGAAAAGCACGUACUGUUCUCUAUAUGCUUGAGAACAACUUGCCUCUUCCUUCAGCUCAGAUGCUCUUCAGGCUCCUGCUAGGUGUAAACACAGGUACUGAGCUGGGUCCCAUCGCAGUCUGCCUACCAUCCCAACCCCUGAUCUCCUAAUGAGCCCUGUCCCACCCCUGCCCACCCCCAAAAAUCCCCACCAAAA